Molecule: ribosomal RNA, 468 nt
Filed under: uncultured bacterium
Lineage: Bacteria
Description: partial 16S ribosomal RNA
Rfam family: Bacterial small subunit ribosomal RNA
Source: RNAcentral
GACGAACGCUGGCGGCGUGCUUAACACAUGCAAGUCGAACGGAAAGGCCCGGCUUUUGUGGGGUGCUCGAGUGGCGAACGGGUGUGUAACACGGGAGUAACCUGCCCUUGACUUUGGGAUAACUUCAGGAAACUGGGGCUAAUACCGGAUAGGAGCUCCUGCUGCAGGGGGGGGGUUGGAAAGUUUCGGCGGUUGGGGAUGGACGCGGGGCUUAUCAGCUUGUUGGGGGGGUAGUUGCUUACCAAGGCUUUGACGGGUAGCCGGCCUGAGAGGGUGACCGGCCACAUUGGGCCUGAGAGACGGCCCAGAGUGCUACGGGAGACAGUGGUGGGGAAUAUGGCACAGUGGGCGGGAGCCUGAUGCAGCGACGCCGCGUGCGUGAUGACGGUCUUUGGGUGGUAAACCGCUUUCGCCUAUGACGAAGCGUGAGUGACGGUAAUGGGUAAAGAAGCACCGGCUAACUACGUG